UGGUGCUUUGAGUAUCAUUGUUAGGUAAAGUUUUUUAAUUUUUGGAUUUUUCAAAUGUUCAAGAGCUGUAUUUUUUUGACAAUUAUAAGUGUCUUACUGAUACCUCCAUGAGUAUUUGAGUACCAACCAUUUUGUUUAAUGCUGUCACAAUCUGCUUGUGUCGCAUGUACAUAGAGGCAGAGCUGAUAUAGAUUAAAAUACUUAUUCUGCUGCUAAGUACUCAUGGAUUUAUGCCAAGAUACUGAUACUGAAGUGGGGAGCGCCAUAUAUUACCUUAUUGAUGGAGUCAAUGUGAUGGAAAUGUUAGACAAUCAACCUUUUCCCUCAUCCUCACUGGUAGACAGUCUGAUUAUCUUCUUAAGGGUAACCACCCUUGGAAUAGGGUAGCUACCUAAUGCCAACCUCAAGCUCAAAUCACCAUCAUUCUUGCAAUUAAAUAAUGGUGAUUACACCAUUGCCUUAUCACCCUCAUGUUACAACACUCACCAUUUGCACUAAUUCUAACAAGAAUCUAAUGCUUUAAAGGGUGGUUCAAGCUUUUUCUCUAGGUCCUGGAAAGAUGAUUUCAUCUUGGCAUUACCUUGCAAGCACUUGGUCCAAGGUGCUAGAGCCUUGAGAUGCUCUCACCCAUUCACUUGAUGGUAUAUGUUUAAUUUACUUUCUUCUCACAUUUAAAUUCGCUUCUAAAUCAUUGGCAUGGGCAGAGCAUGUGGCAAAGUAUGAGUGAACAAUUGUAAAAUGUAAAAGUACGGCACCUAGCGCCAUUCUUAGCAUUUCUUAUGGCAAAUGCAUCCAACAUUCAAAUACAAGUACAAAAAGGAAACUGUAGAGGUCGUGAAGAGCAAGAAGAAAAUUUAACACAUCUUUGAAUUUUUAAUGCUAGAAGCACAAGUAGAGUAGCCAUACAAUUGUGUUUAGUUCGUUAGUUGCAAUAUUGAUAUAGCCUAACAUUCUGUUGCAUAUUGAUAUAGCCUAACAUUUCUGUGGUUUUUUUCAUCUUUGUAUAAAAAUUGACCAAAAUACCUUUAUUUGAAAAUAAAAUUUAUUUAAUUUAAUCCCACUGCUUAUAUGAACAAAAAAUGAAUAAAUUAAAGAUGUCACUUGUCUAGUAGUCAAAUUUAAGGCAGUAAAAUUAUACUGAAAAUCUGAUUGUCAUAUCACAACCCAAAGGAUUGUCAAGAUUCAGGCAAUUUUUUUUAGAAGGCUAAAAAUGAAGUACUUUUCAAUUUAGAUUUUGCAAAGGAAAGCCGAGGAACACUUGAAUGUAGCCCUUUAAACUAGAUUUUAGCUUUGGCUGGCAUAAUGAAGUUGGAUUUUGAAGUAGUAAGAUUUUAUUUUACAUAAAUCAAUGAGUGAAAAAAAAAAUAGAACUUAUGCAUUUCUCUUGGAAAUCUUUUGGAGGGCCUUUAUGUACUGACCUUAAUGAUAAUGGCCCUUACCAUUGCCGCCAUUUCAUCUACCUUUAUGUACUGACCUUAAUGAUAAUGGCCCUUACCAUUGCCGCCAUUUCAUCUACCUUUAUGUACUGACCUUAAUGAUAAUGGCCUCACCAUUGCCGCCGUUGCAUCUGCAAAGUUGGAAACCUAGUUAAAUAAUGAAGGCGACAACAAUUUGAAAGGCUAAAAGCCUAAAACCCAUUAAGAGUCAUUAUGUUAUUUAAUUGCUGUUCUGUGAUUCCAUGACCCCAACCACUAAAAGUGUGCGCAUGAAUUAGAAAAUUGAUGAAAUAAGGAAAAACUAGAUUCUUACAUUGUCAGC
RNAcentral lists this unclassified non-coding RNA (1758 nucleotides) under Hevea brasiliensis (rubber tree). The record is from RNAcentral. Lineage: Eukaryota; Viridiplantae; Streptophyta; Magnoliopsida; Malpighiales; Euphorbiaceae.